UUGCUUGACAUUGUUGUACUUUUGGGGUCU
RNAcentral lists this non-coding RNA (30 nucleotides) under Rattus norvegicus (Norway rat). Lineage: Eukaryota; Metazoa; Chordata; Mammalia; Rodentia; Muridae. The record is from RNAcentral.